This 1246-nucleotide long non-coding RNA is filed under the name Aotus nancymaae (Ma's night monkey). RNAcentral describes it as "lncRNA (ENSANAG00000038746.1)". The record is from RNAcentral. Lineage: Eukaryota; Metazoa; Chordata; Mammalia; Primates; Aotidae.
UUCUCAAUUCUGAGAAAAUCAGGUUGAGAGCCACUUAUGAGUAAUUACAGAUGAGUGUUACAGCAUGUGUGCAAUGCAAGUGUAUGGGUGUGUAAACGGGUGUGUGAUGUGAGUGUAGGUGUAUGAGUGUGAGUGCAUGUGUGUGUGGCAUGUGUGUGUGCAUGUGUGAUGUGUCUGAGUGUAUGUGUAUGUGUGAGUAUAUGUGUGAUGUGUAUGUGAGUGCAUGUGUGAUAUGUGUGAGAGUGUAGCUGUGAGUGUGUGAGGGCAUCUGUGGUGUGUGUAUGUGUAUGAGUGUGUGAGUACAUGUGACGUGUCUGAGUGUAGGUGUAUGUGUGUGAGUGCAUGUGUGAUGUGUGUGUAGGUGUAUGUGUGUGCAAGUGCAUGUGUGUGAUGUGUGAGUGUAGGUGUGAGAGUGUGAGUGCAUCUGUGGUGUAUGUGUAUGAGUGUGUGAGUGCAUGUGUGACGUGUGUGUGAGUGUAGGUGUAUGUGUGAGUGCAUCUGUGGUGUGUGUGUAUAAGUGUGAGUGCAUGUGACAUGUCUGAAUGUACAUGUAUGUGUGUGAGUACAUGUGACGUGUGUGUGUAGGUGUAUGCAUGUGUGAGUGCGUGUGAUGUGUGUGUGAGUGUAGGUGUGAGAGUGAGUGCAUCUGUGGUGUAUGUGUAUGAGUGUGUGAGUGCAUGUGUGACAUGUGUGAGUGUAGGUGUGUGUGUGAGUGCAUCUGUGGUGUAGGUGUAUGCGUGUGUGAGUACAUGUGACGUGUGUCUGAGUGCAUGUGUAUGUGUGAGUGCAUGUGUGAUGUGUGUGUGAGUGUAUGUGUGUGUGAGUGCAUCUGUGGUGUGUGUGUAUAUGUGUGUGAGUGCAUGUGACAUGUCUGAAUGUACAUGUAUGAGUGUGAGUACAUGUGACAUGUGUGUGAGUGUAGGUGUAUGUGUGAGUGCAUGUGUGAUGUGCAUGAAUGCAUGUGUAUGAGUGUGUGUAUGCAUGUGUGAGUGCGUGUGUGUGAUGUGUGUGCACACUGCAGCGAUGGUCCAGGUGCAGGUCCAGACUGAACUGCAAUACGCUGAGUCGCACAAGCUCUUUGGUUUCCCACGUGCUGUGGGCUGACUCUGGUCCCCACUCAAAUCCCAUCUCAAAUUGUAAUCCUCAUAAUUCCCACGUGUUGAGGGCAGGACCUGGUGGGAGGUGACUGGGUGGGGGCAGCUUCCCCCACGCUUUCUUCAUGAUAGUGAGUUCUCACAAGACAGGG